GAAAAGUCUAGGGUAGAAGAUGGAGCCGAGGAGGUAUGAUGUGAAGAAUGAGGAUAAUCUCGAUGAUGAUAAUGGUAGGCUGGAACUUGGAUGUGCAUUGGCAGGUCUGCAUUGGCAGACCAGAUGUCACCAUACAGACAACAAUAUCCUACAGGACAGAAAAGCUUGAAAGUAAAAGAAACUUUGGUGUUUGAAUAAACCACACAUUUGUCCUGGACAACCUGCCUAUCGUUGAACUGUUACAUGAGAGAAAAAGAGAUUUCUCUCUUAUUUGAACAAUUGCAUUUUCAAGUCUUUUUGUUACAGCAGCAUAACUGAUACCCUAACCCUGACAAAUACAUUUUUAAACAAAAGGAGGAAUGCUACUAUCGUACUCUAUGCUGGUCCAGUCUUACUUGGGGUGCAGUAUUCUCAUCUGUGAAUCACAUUUCAAGGGGCCUAAAGACAAAGUAGAAGUGUUCAGAUAACAGCAACAUGAUUGGUGAGAAAUUCAAAGUUGAAGAAACUGGAAGAGCAGAUUUAGAGUAAGUAGGAGUGCCACUUUCAAAUGUCUGAGGAACUGGCCUGUGAAAGAAUGAUUCACUUUGUUCUGUGUAGUUUCAGUAGAUAGAAGUAUGGUUCAACGGGAAAACUGAUUUUGCUGAAGAGAAAGAUUUCUGGCUGUCAGGUCUGCAUAGACAUUGGAGGCACUGAGUUCCCUGCUCAUGGAGAUAUUUUUCACAGAGCCUGGAUAAUCAUUUGGCUGGAUUUGUAACAACUGUGUAUCAUACAGCAUGAAAAUGCAUUUUCUAGCUUCCCUUGAAGUGAAAUGUGAGCAAAAAUGAUGCCAGCCACUCCCAGACCGGCCCAUAGAAACCUCCCAUAUUCUUUCUUCUUCUGCUGCUGGAUAUUGACACAGGGGAUGACUUUGAAAGCUGAGUAUUGAAGAUGGCAGAAGCUGUCUUUCAGCCUUGGUCCCUGAACAACAUGUUGAGCAGAUCCCGUGGUAAUCUGGAACUGCCCUGGACUGUGUAAAGGAAUCAACUUCUUUAUACAACAAUGGCAGAGAAGUUCUACAAUAUGGAGUCCUGUGAUAAAAGCAGAUCAUUCUCCAUAAUGUGGGUGUCCUCAUCCAAUCAGUUGAAAGCCUGAAAAGAACAAAAAGCAGAUCUUUCUUGAGCAAGAAGGAUUCUCCAACAGACUGCCUUCAGACUUCAUCUGCAGCAUCGGCUCUUCCUGGUUCUGCAGUAAACUGUUCCUGGACUUGACUACAGCUCUUUCUCGAGUCUCCAGCCUGCUGGCUUCGUCUAUGAGAUUUUGUACUCACCAGGCAUCCACAAGCACAUGAGCCAAU
Molecule: long non-coding RNA, 1333 nt
Filed under: Homo sapiens (human)
Lineage: Eukaryota; Metazoa; Chordata; Mammalia; Primates; Hominidae
Description: HSALNT0071296
Source: RNAcentral